Long non-coding RNA from Brienomyrus brachyistius, 2683 nucleotides. RefSeq lists it as uncharacterized. Lineage: Eukaryota; Metazoa; Chordata; Actinopteri; Osteoglossiformes; Mormyridae. The transcript has 3 exons. The record is from RefSeq and is a predicted model, not a curated record.
GGAUAAUGACAUUCCUCCGUUUCGUAAUAAAGCAAAGCAUACAGACAAAUGUGGGAGAAAAGUAAAGGAGAACUGCAGGAGCAGAGAGAGAACCUGCGUGACAGUGGGAACGGAAACGCAAUUAGAAAGCAGGCGAGGGGAUUACAGACUCAUCGACCUGGAGGAGACCAUUAGGCGACAGGAGGAGAGGAAUCCCGUCGGCGGAGCGCCAGGGCAUUUAAAGCCAGCCUGUAUCCACAGAGUGUGAGGAGACGUUGAAAGGUUACAGAGUUCACGGGAUCCAAGGGUCGUAAGUUAUGGAACAGACAGCCGCCGCUAACUGCUAACUCCCUCCUUUUCACUUGUUCAUAGGUGUCAGAUUCAUUAUUUGACAGGCAGAGCCUUUAUUGUGUUUUUUUUCGGCAAUAUCAGUGCCCUGCUAGCUAAGAUGCACGCGUGAAUGGGAAUCUGACUAUGCAAAGAGACAUUUUGUUCGAAAAACAUAAUCAUAUUCUUCACACACAUAUAGGUAUAAAAGACAGAUGAUUAACUAAUAACCAAGCCAGCGAAAUAGGAUAUGUUGGAUUUUACGCUAAAGAAUAUUAUUCAAGAUAAUUACACAUUACGCAUUUUUGUAAUUACUGCCUACAAACCCAAUAAAAACUCAAUAUACAGCUUCAACUUUUUUUUUGUUAAUUUUUACCUUCUAUGUUUCAUUUAGCUGUAGGGUACAAAUCUGUGAAAUAUAUUAAAAUGAGCAAACCUGCUUUCAUACUUACGUGUGCAAUCCUCUGGGAGAAGUAAGCCACAUUUUAUCCCCUCUCAAAUCAAAGCUUGUCUGUAUUUUAAGGCUUGUACAUGCAUAAUUUUUUGUUAUAGACAAAAAAAAAGAGAAAUAAAACAUUACUUCAGCAAUUACUUUUCAUAACUAUUAAUUGAAUCCAGCUUUUUAUAAUAAACGAGACUAACAAUAAUUUCCCUGUAGUCUCUGGUGGUAUCAGGCCGUCCAUGUCUCUAGACUUGAGCUCCUAGCCCAUCUGCCUAACAUUACCAUUACAGUCCUGGCUCUGCCAAACGCAGCGUAGAAUUAGACAGACCUAAUGUGGAAAAUUAGAUUGAACGGCAAUAAAGAAAAUCCAUUGGAUGAACCAGUUGCCUCGCCUUUCCUUCCCUUACUAACAGCUUUUGUUCUAGAGUUCUUGCAGGAAGAAGCCUAUUGAAGACAGGCUAACACAAGGCAGAUGCUUCAGCGCUUGGCACCGUGAAAGGUUGGGGAGGGGGUCUGAGUAAUGGUCUUGUUCUCAGACACGACCACUGUCGUGAUUUUCCUGCGAAAGCGCUAGCCCCGGCUCUGCCCGCAUUGCAGGCUCCCAGAAGCUAAUACACACCAUCUGACACCUGUCAAAACAGAGGUUGCUUGUCAAGCAUCGCGGCCUGUCGGCUUCCAGGGUCUGCCUGUGCCCGGCUGGCUUUGGCUGCUUUCCAAUCUUUCCUCCACCCAACGCUGCCCCAAAAACCCACCUACAGUAUAGCCGCUUCGCUGUCUUGCUCCGCAGUUACCAGAAGAUACAGGCAUCCCCCAAAACUGAAGAGCAACUCAUUAGAUCUUUGACCAGCAAGGUCCGCAGAAAGUUCUGUGCCUUGGCCAUUGCGUCUAAUGCCAGGUUGUCAAAACGGGUUCUGACACGAUUUUCCACUGGCCAACAUCUAUUUGUAAACUGAUGGUUCUUGUUUUUGUGUGAGGUUUUUGCUUAAAAAAUAUGCCUGCAGUUUCAGGUAUUGUUUGUUCCUGCGUUGCUAUUUUAACAGAUAAUAAACAAAAAAAAUGGAACAAUAUAUACAUUUGUUACAGGCAAAUAGUGCCGGUGGAAGUGCUUGGGUGCCGAAAAAUGAUGACCACAGUUAUUGACUUGCACAGUCCUUCUAAAUCACCCAUAAUGCAAUUGAUCGUGUCCAUAUAGCGCAUCACUUAAUUAUAUUCCCUCUCUUACACUGAACAGGCUAUCUCUGAGAUUUAUUAUUUAUCUUCUGUGCCUCGCAGUUUCCAACUGUGUCACUUCCUAUUUUGUCAUUUUACCGAAAUCAAGAUGCAUGCAAGAGAGCGACUAUUCCAGGCUGUUAUAUCACACUCCCACCCCCCACACAAAAUAUGAACACCCUGUAUUGCUUUGGUGGGGGUCUGGGUGAGUUAUCUGCCCCUGGCAUACUGCCCCAUCAGGGCAUUUUGUUGGCAUUGCAGAGAGUUGCCUUAAGGGAGUGUUUUCCAAUCCGGUCCUUGGGGACCCACAGCCGGUCCAUGUAUUUGCUCCCUCCCACCCCAAGCUGGGAGGGAGCAAAAAUGUGGACCGCUGGCAGGGAGCUCGGAGGGAGCAAAAAUGUGGACCGCUGGCAGGGAGCUCGGAGGGAGCAAAAAUGUGGACCGCUGGCAGGGAGCUCGGAGGGAGCAAAAAUGUGGACCGCUGGCAGGGAGCUCGGAGGGAGCAAAAAUGUGGACCGCUGGCAGGGAGCUCGGAGGGAGCAAAAAUGUGGACCGCUGGCAGGGAGCUCGGAGGGAGCAAAAAUGUGGACCGCUGGCAGGGAGCUCGGAGGGAGCAAAAUCAUGGACCAACUGUGGGUCCCCGAGUACUGGACUGGGAAACACUCUCUUUAGCAAUUACUACACUCCAGGAACCAGAUGCAUCACCAAGGAGACUGGAGAUUGUUG